AUUUUACUUCAGAUCCAUGUCUAGACUUGAGGUUCAGCUUGUUAAAAUAAAUCAGUCUUAAGUCAGUCUUUAUAGUCUACACUAUAAAAAUACUGAUUUAUUCAUUCACUGUUCCAGAAGGAUGUGUGUGAAAAACAGAAUAUGUAUUUAAUAGAAUCUGGGUAUAUCAAUCUUUCAAAUAUAAAUAGAAAACAAAAAUGUCUCGUUUAUAUUCCUAGAUUAAAUCUUCAGUAAAAUGGACUCCAAGUUGAGAGGAUGUACCAGUAAGCUAAGGAGAAAUGCUUUACAGGAAUGCUUCAAUUCCUCUGGAAAGAGAAGGUAUGGGACUGUUUUUUUUCUUUAACACAUGACUUUGUUGUGGAACACCAAAGAAGCAUAACAUCUAAUCCAAGCAACAACUCUGAUAUCAUCGUCAUUCAUUUAACUCUUCAUGUUCACUUCUUUUGAGUCUAAAUAUCAUUAAUAAUGGCAACAAUCAUUCUACUGGGGUACUUCUCGUAGUAGAAUAUAAUAAUCUUGCACAAACUUUUAAUAAAGACUACAAAUAUAUACA
RNAcentral lists this long non-coding RNA (553 nucleotides) under Numida meleagris (helmeted guineafowl). RNAcentral describes it as "lncRNA (ENSNMEG00000017512.1)". Lineage: Eukaryota; Metazoa; Chordata; Aves; Galliformes; Numididae. The record is from RNAcentral.